GAACGAUUAGAAGCCGCGCAUUUCACGGCGAGAAACGAGCGAGACAAGAUGCGUCUUUCUUCGCGAACGGCUGUUUUCCUGGCGGCGGCUCUCCUGGCGGCGGCGGCGGUCGCGCCUAUUGAGUGCGGUCCGAUUGCAUGCCGCAAAUCUCCCGAGGCAGGGAACGGAGGAAUGGAAUCGCCUCCCGACGCGCAACGACGGAACCUUCCCGAACCCGUGACUGUCUCGGCGUCCUACACUGUGAAUACGUAGAGGAUGCACAGAGCGGAGGAUGGCACCGCCUCCCCGCUGCUUUAGUGGGACAAAAUAAAGUCCACAGAAUUGGGGAUAAAGAGUUUA
Penaeus monodon (black tiger shrimp) is the source of this 339-nucleotide long non-coding RNA. RefSeq lists it as uncharacterized. Lineage: Eukaryota; Metazoa; Arthropoda; Malacostraca; Decapoda; Penaeidae. The transcript has 4 exons. The record is from RefSeq and is a predicted model, not a curated record.